CCUACGGGUGACUGCAGUGAGGAAUAUUGGUCAAUGGGCGCUAGCCUGAACCAGCCAAGUAGCGUGAAGGAUGACUGCCCUAUGGGUUGUAAACUUCUUUUAUAUGGGAAUAAAGUGCAGUAUGUAUACUGCUUUGCAUGUACCUUAUGAAUAAGGAUCGGCUAACUCCGUGCCAGCAGCCGCGGUAAUACGGAGGAUCCGAGCGUUAUCCGGAUUUAUUGGGUUUAAAGGGAGCGUAGGCGGGUUGUUAAGUCAGUUGUGAAAGUUUGCGGCUCAACCGUAAAAUUGCAGUUGAUACUGGCAGCCUUGAGUACAGUAGAGGUAGGCGGAAUUCGUGGUGUAGCGGUGAAAUGCUUAGAUAUCACGAAGAACUCCGAUUGCGAAGGCAGCCUGCUGGACUGUAACUGACGCUGAUGCUCGAAAGUGUGGGUAUCAAACAGGAUUAGAUACCCUAGUAGUC
Molecule: ribosomal RNA, 460 nt
Filed under: uncultured bacterium
Lineage: Bacteria
Description: partial 16S ribosomal RNA
Rfam family: Bacterial small subunit ribosomal RNA
Source: RNAcentral